UCAAGAUAUCCCGAGUCAUUUUCAAAAUAAAUAAAAAAUCCUAUAGGAAUAAAAUAAAAAAAUCAAUGGAGCCCGAUAUCCAAUUAAAUAAAUGUUAAAGGAUGAAACUGAAAUAAACAUGAGCUUAAAAAAAGAAAAAAAACCAAGCAAACUCGGGAAACCUUCUAAACCUGGGUUAAUCUCUAAAACUUGUAACUCAUGAAAUCCUAGACUGGAGCUUGAUUAAGAAGCACAAUUCUCAAUUAAUUUAAUAUUGAAUAAUGAAAACAGAAAAAAAUCAAUUUAAAAAAAAUGUUAAAGUGAAAAAACAUAGUAAUUAAAAGAAUAAAAACUAAAUCUAAUAGGAAAAAAAAACUUAUGAAGGAUGAUAUUGUAAAAGAAAUCGAAAGAAUGAGGUUUCAACCUUAAGUGACUAACUAGAUAUCUCAAUUAAUGAGAAAGCAGAAUAGUAAACAGGAAAUUAGAGGAACUCCCUGCUUCUCACGUCAAAUGAAAGCAACACCCAAUUGCAUAGUUUUGAAACCCAACCUGGUCAUCGACCCGGUCAAGUGAUCGGGUCACGGGUCAGAUGGGUUGAUCCGGGUUGACCCGGGUCAAUCCAAAAAAAAACAGAGACAUAGAGAAGACAUAAAGACUUGUGACCUUCCUCCAGCAAAAGGGAACUUCAACUUCCCCUCACCGUAAGUUGUUGAUCCAACCAACAAAUACAAACCCAGAGAAACCAGGACAAAAAACAAAAGCCACAAAGAAGGGGAGAACCACAAACAAAUAAUACAAAAAAACACAGAUGAAAAAUGAACUAACAUAGAUAAUACAGAGAGAGACCAAGAGGAACAAGAAUAGAGAGAGACAGAGGGAACAAGAGAAGUAAAAAAAUAAAUAAAGAGAUGACAAGCAGAGAAAAGCAAGAACAGAGGUGAAGUGAACGAAAAACAGAAGUAAAGGGGAAGAAAGUAACAUUGGUUAGCCAGCCCUCCAUCACCAUCGCCUUCGUCUUUAAGUAGCAGCUCCAGGUAAGUCUUUCUUUCUAUUUCCCCCGCUUUCAAUUCUUAAUAAUAAUUGUAAUAAUAAUAACAAACAUGGAUUGUGGAUCAUAAGGAACAGCAAAUGAAAGGCCUAUUGUCAUGAUAUAUAUAUAUAUAUAUAACAGUAUGUAAGAAAUGGUUACGGUGGCGAAAUUGAAAUCGAUGGCAGCGAGUGAAAGAAGGAUUAUCGCAGAAAUUGAGGUGCUGGGCUGAAAUUAAAAUUGAUGCCAGAAAUGAGAAAACGGCCAAGAAUAAAGAAAACAGAGAGUGAAAGAAGGAGAUUCAAACCUUUUUCGCAGAGAUCAAUGGUCAGACGUUCGCUGCUCAUCUGCUCCUCAGUUGAGUUUCAAAGAUAGAGUAACAUUAAUUAGGUUUAUUGCUUUGAUCUUCUUCUGUCUUUAGUCUUUAGCGUUUUGGCAUUUUAGAUGGAAAAAAACGACGUCGUUUAAUGACAGUGAAAAUAAAAAAAAAAUUGACCGGGUCUCACCCGGGUUUGGCCGGGUGGACCGGGUUUUCCCGGGCCAAUUCACUACAAGAUUUAACAGUUUUACCGACGGAAUUUUUCCGUCGGUGUAAGACACAUAUUCCAUCGGUAAUUAUAUUACCGACGGAAUCAAAGACGGAAAUGAUCCGUCGGUGAAUCGUUCGUCGGUAAUGUUUUGUCCGUCGGCAAAUCCGUUGGUAAUAGAAUUACCGAUGGAUUUACUGACGGAACAGACGCGUCGGUAAUAAUUUUUUUAUUACCAACGGAAUUACCGAGGGAUUUACCGAAGGAAUUACCGACGGAAGUACCGACAGAAGUUCCGUCGGUAAUUCCGUCGGUAAUUAUUGAAAAACAUUUUAAAAAAAAUUCAUUUUAUAAAAUUAUAAAAUAAUUAAAUUAACAUAAAUUAACACUGUAUAAUAUAUACUCAAAAUGCUUGGAAAAAAGAAUAAGAAAAUCAAUUCAAACAAAUUUGCAACAAAUAAAUAAAAUAAAAAAAUAAAUUCAACUAAAAAAAUUCAUAUGAAAAAAAUGAAGUUGCAAUUGCUAAAAAUUUAAAAAUCCUAUAAAUAAAUCUACUAAAAAUUGAUCUCAUAUGAAAAAAAAAUCUCAAAACAACUUUUAUACAAUUAUUAAGAACAAAAACAAUUAAAAAUAAAAUAAAGAACAAAAAUAGUGAAAAAAAUCAUGAAAAAAGAAGAAAAAAGAAAAAUCUUACCUUAAUGUAGUUGCAAGUGAAGCUAAGGAGAGAAAAAAAAUUUCAUUAAGCAUAUUAAUUAAAAAAAAACUAAGAGGAUAAAAGAAGAAAGAAGAAGAAGACAUACCCAAGCAUGGAAGAAAAGAGAAGGAGAUGAGGAGAGAAAAGAAGAGAAAGAAAUAGAUAAGAAAUGAUGUUUUUUACAUAAAGUGAAGAAGAAGAAGAAGACAUACCUUAAUGAUGUUUUUUACAUAUAGUGAAGAAGAAGAAGAAGAAGAAGUAGAAGAACAAGAAGAAGAAUAAUAAUAAUAAGAAACGGGUCUGUCUCUUGUGAAAUAAGGGCAUUCAGGCUUUUUAUUGGGACGCUUUACCGACGGAUUUACCGGUGGAAUUACCAACGGAAUUACCGACGGAAUAAAUUCCGUCGGUGAUUCCGUCGGUAAAUUUGUUGGUAAAAAUGACACGUCAUCAUUUUUUUUUUUGCUUUGUUUUAAUUUUUUUUCCCACGGUAAUUCCCUCGGUAUAUAUGUUUGUAUUUAUCAAUUUUCUGGUAGUGAUUCCCGAGCGGGUUUUUGCCUCAACCCGGACCGGUCCCAGGCCCGGGUCGGCCGGGUCCUGGGUCGACCCGCCGGGCCGGUCCGGGUUUUAAAACUCUACCCAAUUGAGUAAUGAAUGUAACUCUGGUCCCUUGGUUUGAACCACAAGUGACUAACUAGCAGACUAGUCAACAGCCUAUUAGAGGAAUUGAAUGAAAGCAAUUGAAUGCAGGAAGAGGGCCAGACUAGUAAACAGCCAACAGCGGCAGUUCUCCUCCAGCAUGUGCAACUGAGGAGCCGUGAUGAAGGCGACACUCUUCAAAAUAAAUCUUGAAUCGAUUGACUGAUGCUCUUUUCUUCUUUGUCGGUGUAUAAAUUAGUGGUUAGCUAAUUAAUGUCCCACGGCCAGGCUAUCGAUACCAUCCAUUACCAGGAUGAGUGCGAGACUCUUCAAAUCCAAUUGUCGAAUGAAUGUAACUCUGGAAUUAUUCCAAAUCCACAAGUUUGAUAGUGUUGUUUUAAAAUUUUAAAGGGAUGAAAAAAUAAUAAGAAAAAUAAAAAGAAAAAUUAUCAGCACCAAACCAAAAAAGCACUCACCAACUACUUUUUU
This 3352-nucleotide long non-coding RNA is filed under the name Populus trichocarpa (black cottonwood). RNAcentral's name for it is "long non-coding RNA (PTRI_LNC000222)". The record is from RNAcentral. Lineage: Eukaryota; Viridiplantae; Streptophyta; Magnoliopsida; Malpighiales; Salicaceae.